RNAcentral lists this ribosomal RNA (253 nucleotides) under uncultured bacterium. RNAcentral's name for it is "partial 16S ribosomal RNA". It matches the Rfam family "Archaeal small subunit ribosomal RNA", at positions 474 to 727 of the family's 1478-position model. The record is from RNAcentral.
UACCAGCACCCCGAGUGGUCGGGACGUUUAUUGGGCCUAAAGCAUCCGUAGCCGGUUCUACAAGUCUUCCGUUAAAUCCACCUGCUUAACAGAUAGGCUGCGGAAGAUACUAUAGAGCUAGGAGGCGGGAGAGGCAAGCGGUACUCGAUGGGUAGGGGUAAAAUCCGUUGAUCCAUUGAAGACCACCAGUGGCGAAGGCGGCUUGCCAGAACGCGCUCGACGGUGAGGGAUGAAAGCUGGGGGAGCAAACCGG